This 405-nucleotide ribosomal RNA is filed under the name uncultured bacterium. RNAcentral's name for it is "partial 16S ribosomal RNA". It matches the Rfam family "Bacterial small subunit ribosomal RNA", at positions 28 to 526 of the family's 1533-position model. The record is from RNAcentral.
GAUGAACGCUGGCGGCGUGCCUAAUACAUGCAAGUCGAACGAAGAGGGGACGGGUGAGUAACACGUAGAUAAACUACUAUACGACUGGGAUAACGUCGGGAAACCGGAGCUAAACCGGCUACUUAUAGAUGGAUAUACGCUGCAUGUGCUAGUUAGUCAUGUAACGGCUUACCAAGGCAACGAUGCAUAACCGACCUGAGAGGGUGACCAGCCACAAUGGAACUGAGUCCCUGUCCAUACUCCGACGGGAGUCAGCAGUAGGGAAUCGUCCGCAAUGGGCGAAGUCCUGACGGAGCAACGCCGCGGUAUGGAUGAAGGUCUUCGGAUCGUAAUACUCUGUUAUCAGGGAAGCGGUACCUAAUCAGAAAGCCACGGCUAACUACGUGCCAGCAGCCGCGGUAAUAC